RNAcentral lists this ribosomal RNA (375 nucleotides) under uncultured bacterium. Its description in RNAcentral is "bacterial SSU rRNA". It matches the Rfam family "Bacterial small subunit ribosomal RNA", at positions 524 to 898 of the family's 1533-position model. The record is from RNAcentral.
UACGGAGGGUGCAAGCGUUAAUCGGCAUUACUGGGCGUAAAGCGCACGCAGGCGGUCUGUCAAGUCGGAUGUGAAAUCCCCGGGCUCAACCUGGGAACUGCAUUCGAAACUGGCAGGCUAGAGUCUUGUAGAGGGGGGUAGAAUUCCAGGUGUAGCGGUGAAAUGCGUAGAGAUCUGGAGGAAUACCGGUGGCGAAGGCGGCCCCCUGGACAAAGACUGACGCUCAGGUGCGAAAGCGUGGGGAGCAAACAGGAUUAGGUACCCUGGUAGUCCACGCCGUAAACGAUGUCGAUUUGGAGGUUGUGCCCUUGAGGCGUGGCUGCCGGAGCUAACGCGUUAAAUCGACCGCCUGGGGAGUACGGCCGCAAGGUUAAA